RNAcentral lists this ribosomal RNA (292 nucleotides) under uncultured bacterium. RNAcentral describes it as "partial 16S ribosomal RNA". It matches the Rfam family "Bacterial small subunit ribosomal RNA", at positions 505 to 796 of the family's 1533-position model. The record is from RNAcentral.
GUGUCAGCAGCCGCGGUAAGACGUAGGAUGCAAGCGUUGUCCGGAUUUAUUGGGCGUAAAGAGUUCGUAGGUGGUUCGUUAAGUCUGAUGUUAAAGACUGGGGCUCAACCCUGGAAGUGCAUUGGAUACUGGCGGACUUGAGUGUGGUAGAGGCAAUCGGAAUUCCAGGUGUAGCGGUGAAAUGCGUAGAUAUCUGGAAGAACACCGGUGGCGCAAGCGGAUUGCUGGGCCAUAACUGACACUGAGGAACGAAAGCUAGGGGAGCGAAUGGGAUUAGAUACCCCAGUAGUCC